RNAcentral lists this ribosomal RNA (459 nucleotides) under uncultured Alcaligenaceae bacterium. Its description in RNAcentral is "bacterial SSU rRNA". It matches the Rfam family "Bacterial small subunit ribosomal RNA", at positions 30 to 479 of the family's 1533-position model. The record is from RNAcentral. Lineage: Bacteria; Pseudomonadati; Pseudomonadota; Betaproteobacteria; Burkholderiales; Alcaligenaceae.
AUUGAACGCUAGCGGAAUGCUUUACACAUGCAAGUCGAACGGCAGCGCGGGUGCUUGCACCUGGCGGCGAGUGGCGAACGGGUGAGUAAUGUAUCGGAACGUGCCCAGUAGCGGGGGAUAACUACGCGAAAGCGUAGCUAAUACCGCAUACGCCCUUCGGGGGAAAGGUGGGGAUUCUUCGGAACCUGUCACUAUUGGAGCGGCCGAUAUCGGAUUAGCUAGUUGGUGGGGUAAAGGCCUACCAAGGCGACGAUCCGUAGCUGGUUUGAGAGGACGACCAGCCACACUGGGACUGAGACACGGCCCAGACUCCUACGGGAGGCAGCAGUGGGGAAUUUUGGACAAUGGGGGAAACCCUGAUCCAGCCAUUUCGCGUGUGCGAUGAAGGCCUUCGGGUUGUAAAGCNCUUUUNNCGGGGAAGAAAAGCGCCGGGUUAAUACCCUGGCGCGCUGACGUACC